Molecule: ribosomal RNA, 562 nt
Filed under: uncultured bacterium
Lineage: Bacteria
Description: bacterial SSU rRNA
Rfam family: Bacterial small subunit ribosomal RNA
Source: RNAcentral
GCGUAGCCCGACUUGAAGAGGGUGAUCGGCCACACUGGAACUGAGACACGGUCCAGACUCCUACGGGAGGCAGCAGUAGGGAAUCUUCCACAAUGGGUGCAAACCUGAUGGAGCAAUGCCGCGUGAGUGAAGAAGGACUUCGGUUCGUAAAGCUCUGUUGUUGGGGAAGGACACGGAUAGGAGUCACUGCCUAUCCCUUGACGGUACCCAACCAGAAAGUCACGGCUAACUACGUGCCAGCAGCCGCGGUAAUACGUAGGUGACAAGCGUUGUCCGGAUUUAUUGGGCGUAAAGCGAGCGCAGGCGGUCCGGUAAGUCUGAUGUGAAAGCCCACGGCUCAACCGUGGAACGGCAUUGGAAACUGGCGGACUUGAAUGUAGCAGAGGAAAGUGGAAUUCCAUGUGUAGCGGUGGAAUGCGUAGAUAUAUGGAGGAACACCAGUGGCGAAAGCGACUUUCUGGGCUAUGAUUGACGCUGAGGCUCGAAAGCGUGGGGAGCGAACAGGAUUAGAUACUCUGGUAGUCCACGCCGUAAACGAUGAGUGCUAAGUGUUGGAGGUUUC